Molecule: unclassified non-coding RNA, 214 nt
Filed under: uncultured Chrysozymaceae
Lineage: Eukaryota; Fungi; Basidiomycota; Microbotryomycetes
Description: sequence contains ITS2
Source: RNAcentral
ACUCUUCAACUCCCCAAUUUCUUGUAGAUUGUGUGGAUGUUUGGAUUUUGAAUGUUGCUGGCUCUUCGGAGCGAAGCUCGUUCGUAAUACAUUAGCAUUUCUAAUUCGAACUCGGAUUGACUCAGUGUAAUAGACUAUUCGCUGAGGACACUAGUUUCUACUAGUGGCCGUGUUCAAUACAAGAGAAGCUUCUAAUCCCUCUAGUCAUUUUUGA